RNAcentral lists this ribosomal RNA (232 nucleotides) under uncultured bacterium. RNAcentral's name for it is "partial 16S ribosomal RNA". It matches the Rfam family "Bacterial small subunit ribosomal RNA", at positions 524 to 755 of the family's 1533-position model. The record is from RNAcentral.
GACAGAGGGUGCAAACGUUGUUCGGAAUUACUGGGCGUAAAGCGCGUGUAGGCGGCCCUGCAAGUCGGGUGUGAAAUCCCACGGCUCAACCGUGGAAGUGCACUCGAAACUGCAGGGCUAGAGUCCUGGAGAGGAAGGUGGAAUGCUUGGUGUAGAGGUGAAAUUCGUAGAUAUCAAGCGGAACACCGGUGGCGAAGGCGGCCUUCUGGACAGUGACUGACGCUGAGACGCG